This 444-nucleotide ribosomal RNA is filed under the name uncultured bacterium. RNAcentral describes it as "partial 16S ribosomal RNA". It matches the Rfam family "Bacterial small subunit ribosomal RNA", at positions 338 to 795 of the family's 1533-position model. The record is from RNAcentral.
CCUACGGGAGGCAGCAGUGGGGAAUAUUGGGCAAUGGAGGAAACUCUGACCCAGCAAUGCCGCGUGAAUGAAGAAGGUCCUCGGAUUGUAAAGCUCUUUAGUCAGGGAAGAAGUCAAUGACGGUACCUGAUGAAUAAGCUUCGGCUAACUACGUGCCAGCAGCCGCGGUAAUACGGAGGGAGCAAGCGAUGUUCGGAAUGACUGGGCGUAAAGGGUGCGUAGGCGGUUGUACAAGUUAGAAGUGAAAUACCCAGGGCUUAACUCGGGUGCUGCUUCUAAAACUGGAUGACUUGAGUGCAGUAGAGGAUAGUGGAAUUCCUGGUGUAGCGGUGGAAUGCGUAGAUAUUAGGAAGAACACCGGAGGCGAAGGCGGCUGACUGGACUGCAACUGACGCUGAGGCACGAAAGUGUGGGGAGCAAACAGGAUUAGAUACCCCGGUAGUC